This is an RNA transcript of Solanum verrucosum, 2056 nucleotides long. It is a transcript of the gene named nijmegen breakage syndrome 1 protein, with no coding region annotated. The record is from RefSeq and is a predicted model, not a curated record. The transcript is spliced from 15 exons. Lineage: Eukaryota; Viridiplantae; Streptophyta; Magnoliopsida; Solanales; Solanaceae.
AUGGUUUGGGGACUUUUUCCUAUUGAUCCUCUUCCAGGUGAAGAUAAUUACUAUUUCUUCAACAAAGGUACAUAUAAAGUGGGUCGAAAAGGAUGUGAUGUCAUUGUCAACAAGGAUAAAGGAGUUUCAAGGAUACAUGCGGAGAUUUCAGUAGAUGAGAUGAUUUCUUUGGAUCAGUCGUUGAAGAAACCCUCAAAUAUUCUGUCUAAAGUACGUGUAAGAGACUGCUCAAAGUAUGGCACAUUCCUCAACAAGAAUCUGGAUUCGAAGGAGAAAGUUCACGAGUUUCCAAAUAAAGAAACGAUGCUUAAGGAUGGCGAUCUAGUUUCAUUUGGAACUGGUAAUGCAACUUACAGAUUCUCUUAUGUGUCAUUCAUAUUUUUCAUUUGCUCCCCGAAGCAUUCAAAGACAAUUCAACUUAUUACAAAGAAGGUUUCAUCAAUAGGUGCAAGUAUAACUAAGAAGUGGAGUUUGGACUGCUCACAUGUGCUUGUAGAUAACUCCUUUUCACUGAGUGAUGACCUGAUUGAUGCUAUUGUCGCUAGAAAACCCUUGGUUCAAUAUAGCUGGGUCGAGCUAAUUGCAGGAAAAAAUAUUUGCACCGAUAUUCCAAGCCACAAUUCUCAUGCACCAAAGUUGAUGCUGGAAGGAGUUUCCGUGAAAGUGGUAGAUCCUCAGUCUCGGGAGUGCUGUUUGAAAGGAUAUGCUUUUUUGCUGGAACCAGAAAACAAGUAUAAAUUUGAAGGCAGGUUUCAGUCCUUACUGGAAGUUGGGGGUGCCAUCAUUUCUUCUUCUGAAAUGGUCUCGGAGAAAAAUGGAAAUGACCGUGUGGUAUGUGUAGUUCCAGCUGGAUCAAGCAACUUUAAGUCUUUUUCUAACCAAAGUUCCUUGCCUUGGGUGAGUGAAAUAGAUCUGGUUUCUGCGGUUCUAUCUGGAUAUCUGGAUCCUAUUCUUAUCACAUCCCCACCGGUGCUCGUUACCUCUUCAUGCUCCACAGAUGAGACGGUGGUUGCAGACUCAGAUGCCGAAACAGAAAGUACAAAAUCAGAUCACAUCGCUGCUGCUUCCUGUUCAAUAGAAACUUCAGAGCAUGACAGCAAGGGAACAACUUCUAUACACAAGUUAGAAUCUGUUGAAUAUCACAACGAAGAUAAGUGUACUGUUCAAAUAGUGAUGCCUAGGGAUAAGGUAUCCACGAGGGACACAUCUCCCAGUUCAACAAAACAUAUUAAACACGAUGGAGGUCACAUACCACAUGAUGAUGCUACCAUCCAUGACCCUGAAGGUGGUUACAUCAGGCGCUUAGGUGUCGAAAGUGAUAAUACAGUGGUAAAAGAAGAUAUCACGGAUCAGCGGGAAAAUGGGAAGUUGGAUAUCAUAUAUAGCCAAGAUUUAAUUGUUAGAGAUUCUAUCAUGUCAUUACCAGUCUCUUCUUCAUCAAAUGGUGGUGUUACAAAUUUUAAGCGCUUCCGUAAGGCAAAUGCUCCAUCCCAGAAUAACUUUGCAAUCUUCAUUCCAUUCUCCAAGCAUCCAUACCAAGAAUCUGAGUGUAAGAAUGAGGAUGUUGCUGAAUCUAUUAAAGAAGAGAAAAAAAGAAAACAGAUGGAAGCAAUUGCCGAGGACCUGUUUAAAAGUGAAAAGGGAAAAAAACGUGGUGUUACUGGUCCCCUGCAUGGGUUGUUUGCUCGUAGAUAAUAUGUGUUUUAGGGUUAGUGAACUGAACUGAAGAGCUUUAUAGAGGAUCAUUGGAAUUGGCUCAACUGCAAUUUUACAUGCAUGAUGAUUAGCUGCCUACAAUAUACCAAAGAUAUGCAGAUGUACUGGAUCAACCAUCUAAGACAUUUUGUUGGUAUUACUAGUUUCUUAGCAAACACUGUAGAUAACAUCCUCCUUUUCGUUUCUCCUUGUAUGAAGAUGGGGAAGUCAUCAAUUUCUUCAGGAUGAAUUCUGUUAAGCUAUUGUAUUGGGUCAUUCUUGAAACUAAUUUUUUCUUUCUUGUUUCUUCACAUGUUCCUUGAUUUGUUUUUCAUUCUUAAUGCUAUGACUCAUUUAUGUU